Molecule: ribosomal RNA, 58 nt
Filed under: Hericium erinaceus (lion's mane mushroom)
Lineage: Eukaryota; Fungi; Basidiomycota; Agaricomycetes; Russulales; Hericiaceae
Description: partial 28S ribosomal RNA
Source: RNAcentral
UUGACCUCAAAUCAGGCGGGACUACCCGCUGAACUACAGCAUAUCAAUAAGCGGAGGA